CGCACAUUGCGCCCUUUGGUAUUCCGAGGGGCAUGUCUGUUCGAGCGUCAUUACAACCCUCAAGCUUCUGCUUGGUAUUGGGCUUCAUCCUGCCUAAAGGAUGUGCCUAAAACUCAUUGGCGGUUGCACUUAGCUCCCUUGCGUAGUUAUUAUUUUCUCGCUUGGAAUUUUAGGUGUAACCCGCCUGAGAACCUCACAUAUUUCUCAAGGUUUGACCUCGGAUCAGAUAGGGAUACCCGCUGAACUUAA
This 249-nucleotide unclassified non-coding RNA is filed under the name Tubeufia sp. Its description in RNAcentral is "partial contains 5.8S ribosomal RNA, internal transcribed spacer 2, and large subunit ribosomal RNA". Lineage: Eukaryota; Fungi; Ascomycota; Dothideomycetes; Tubeufiales; Tubeufiaceae. The record is from RNAcentral.